AGCGCAGGCGGGUUGGCAAGUCCUUGGUGAAAUCCUGAGGCUUAACCUCAGGACUGCCAAUGAUACUGCCGAUCUUGAGUGCAGAAGAGGAAGACGGAAUUCCUGGUGUAGCGGUGAAAUGCGUAGAUAUCAGGAAGAACACCGGUGGCGAAGGCGGUCUUCUGGUCUGUAACUGACGCUCAUGCUCGAAAGCGUGGGGAGCAAACAGGAUUAGAUACCCUGGUAGUCCACGCCCUAAACGAUGGAUACUCGAUGUCGGGUCGCAAGGCCCGGUGUCCAAGCUAACGCGUUAAGUAUCCCACCUGGGGAGUACGAUCGCAAGACUAAA
RNAcentral lists this ribosomal RNA (328 nucleotides) under uncultured bacterium. Its description in RNAcentral is "bacterial SSU rRNA". It matches the Rfam family "Bacterial small subunit ribosomal RNA", at positions 568 to 898 of the family's 1533-position model. The record is from RNAcentral.